Molecule: long non-coding RNA, 927 nt
Organism: Mastomys coucha (southern multimammate mouse)
Lineage: Eukaryota; Metazoa; Chordata; Mammalia; Rodentia; Muridae
Exons: 2
Source: RefSeq, a predicted model, not a curated record
ACUCUGUGAGGUGACAUUCUCAUCCUGGCUUCUGUCUCUCAAUGCUUUUGUGAUGCUCUGUGGUCCCUGGGAAAACCAGAUGUCCACUCCUUCGCCCUCAUGUUCUACGACUUUCCAAAGCACGGCCACUAGCCAGAGACUGACUGUUCAGAUCCAUGAGUCUACGGGACAAUGCACAUUCAGACAGCAGUACUGCCUGAUCCCUGGGCCACCACUCUGUCCUCUGGUCAAGAUGCUUCCUACCAGAGCUUCUCUGGGAAGGAAGCAGGAACUCCACUCCAGCAAUGUGCAACUCCAGAACUGAGCCUACUUCCUCUGACACCCAUCCGCUUCUUCGUGGAGUGAUGAAGGGUGGGAGUCCUCAUUAUGUGGGAUGCCCUGAUAGGGUGUGAGCCUGUUGUUGCUUCCGGGGCAGUUCCUUACCACUACCCCUGUGCAGACAGAGCUGAAGCACAGACACAAUGCGCCAGGCUCUACAGUAUAACUCCUCCAGUGGGGAAACUAAGACUUCCGGAGUUCAGGUCACACAGAGUCCCAACUAAGUUCCUACAGCGUUCCUGUUAUUUGUUCUCUGCUGCCAGAGGUGGAACCCAGGGCCCUGUACACGCUAAGCAAGCAUUCUACCAUUGAGCCCCAACCUCAGAGCCGCUCAACUGGUUCUUACUGUGCAGUCAACCAACGUUCGUCAUUAUAAAGCUCAGUUAGGGACCAGUGAGAUGAUUCAGUGCCUACAGGUGCUUGCCCUCAACCCUGAUGAUCUAAGUUCAAGCCACAGCACCCAGAAAGUGGAAAGAGUCAACUCCCACAAGCUCUCCUAGAACCUCUAAUAUGGAUGUCAUAGAAUCUGGAUGGAUGCACACAUACACACAUACACAUUUAAUAUUUUAAAAUAAAAUAAAGCCCAGUUGCUAAGGGGCUUAUCUGUCA